This 427-nucleotide ribosomal RNA is filed under the name uncultured bacterium. Its description in RNAcentral is "bacterial SSU rRNA". It matches the Rfam family "Bacterial small subunit ribosomal RNA", at positions 355 to 775 of the family's 1533-position model. The record is from RNAcentral.
UCGAGAAUUUUUCUCAAUGGGGGAAACCCUGAAGGAGCGACGCCGCGUGCGGGAUGAAGGGCUUCGGCUCGUAAACCGCUGUCAUUUGCGAACAAACCUUGUCCGUUAACACCGGACAGGCUGAUUGUAGCGAAAGAGGAAGGGACGGCUAACUCUGUGCCAGCAGCCGCGGUAAUACAGAGGUCCCAAGCGUUGUUCGGAUUCACUGGGCGUAAAGGGUGCGUAGGUGGCGGGGUCAGUCUGAUGUGAAAUCUCCGAGCUUAACUCGGAAAUGGCAUUGGAUACUACUCUGCUAGAGGGUUGGAGGGGAGACUGGAAUUCUCGGUGUAGCAGUGAAAUGCGUAGAUAUCGAGAGGAACGCCAGUGGCGAAAGCGAGUCUCUGGACAACUCCUGACACUGAGGCACGAAAGCUAGGGGAGCAAACAG